Non-coding RNA from Manis javanica (Malayan pangolin), 997 nucleotides. NCBI's taxonomy places the organism in Eukaryota, Metazoa, Chordata, Mammalia, Pholidota, Manidae. The record is from RefSeq and is a predicted model, not a curated record.
ACUGAGAAAGACUGAUGAGUGUGAAUUGGGAAUCCUUUUGUGAGACCUAGGCAAGUGGUUCUGAGGAAAGGGUAGGACUGAAGAGCAAACGAGGGGAUCUCAAGCAGGACAACAUGAACAAAGUUGCAAAGGCCUCCUCCAGAGCUGGGGAAGAGGAUUCAUGUUGGGUAGUCACAAAAGACAUGGAUGGAGAGGCCACCAGUUGGAUUGUCCCUCUUUUAUUUCGGUUGGCUAAAUUUGCUCCCUCUUUUGAACUCUCCUCCGGUCUUCUCCACAAAGCACUUUCCUUCGAAUACUCUGUUUUAUCGCUCUUAGUCUCCUACUCCGUCCUCACACCCUCACCUUUCCAAACCGCUAACCCCUGAGUUCCUAAUUUAGCCCUGUAGUCUCUCUGCAGCUUCUCGGCGGCUUUCAAGGUUCUCGUUCCCACUCCCGUACUCCCGCUGUCAUUUGUCCCCAGGCCCCGCCUCGCUCUGUCCACUCGGGCUCCACCUCCCUACCCCACAGCUCAUCCUACAUCCCUCCCGCUCACCCGGACCAGCAGACUCCGGGAUCCCUCCAAGAAGUGGCCGAAGGGAAGUAAAGCGCACGAACUCCACCCCGGUGCCAAAGGCCAGGAUGAAAGAGGCGAGGGCAGCAGAGACCAGGAGCAGAGCGGGGGCCAUGGCGACAAGCAAAGGGUGGAGAAAGGGGAGGGUUUGGGAUUCCCGCGGCCGCAGGCCCCGCCUCUUGCCCCGCCCAUGGCCGGACUCCAGUCCAGGAGGGCUGGGCUCCUGUGCCCGCCGCCACCCGGGCUUCCGGGUGGCCGCGCGCCUCUGUCUCUCAACCCGCAGCAGGGCUGGCAUCUGGUGCCUUCCCCAGCCAGCUACCUCCGCGUCACAGGGGGAAAUGUUAGAAUCCAAGUGAGAGGUGAAAAGGACAGCGGCUGUGCGGCCACUCGAAUGGGUUGAGUUGCUUCUUGUUUUUCCAAUAUAAAAUAAAGGCAGUAUGUUAAAAA